RNAcentral lists this ribosomal RNA (206 nucleotides) under uncultured bacterium. RNAcentral's name for it is "partial 16S ribosomal RNA". It matches the Rfam family "Bacterial small subunit ribosomal RNA", at positions 568 to 774 of the family's 1533-position model. The record is from RNAcentral.
CGCGUAGGCGGCCGCCUAAGUCAGACGUGAAAUCCCUCGGCUCAACCGGGGAACUGCGUCUGAUACUGGGUGGCUUGAAUUCGGGAGAGGGAUGCGGAAUUCCAGGUGUAGCGGUGAAAUGCGUAGAUAUCUGGAGGAACACCGGUGGCGAAGGCGGCAUCCUGGACCGAGAUUUACGCUGAGGCGCGAAAGCCAGGGAGCAAACG